CCCUGCGGGCGCUGAGGCGCGGGAAGGCGGCGGCCGCCGCGGGGAGGGCCGCUGCCGGGCCGCGCUGAGGGGCCGCAGGUGCUGUGGCGAAGGGCAAGAGGCUGUUCAGUUUUACAGGGCGGCCCUGUGCUGAGGAAGGCGUACUGUGUUCCCUCCGACCGGAAAGUUGCUGACAAUACCAGGAGACUACGGGCAUUUACUUCAAGGAGGCGCGCGCCAUUCACUACCACUCCACGCACAGAAUGAUUCCAGACGGUACCUGCACCCGAUUAACUAUUUCUUGUUUAAUGGAGUUGAUCACAAACAGUAAAUUAUCUGCAAAGAAAAAAAAAAUUGUUUGGAUUUACAGCACAUCCUCCCUGGAGCAAGAGAGAUCCACACACUGUUAUCUAUCAAUUCCAGCGCACUUCUAACACGAGCAAGACCGAAACUAACAGCUACAUGGAGUAUAUAUCAGUCAAGUGACCCAUCCGAUCUGUUUACAGCAUCGCACUGAGAAAACUUCAAACUCUUGGAGUUUCCACUGAAAGCCCUUGGAAGUUACAAUUCUCAAUUCAUCCACCUUCCUCUGGAAGAAACUACACUGAAAGUUACUACUGUAUGUCCACUGUGCCUGCCUUGGACACUGUGCAGAACUCUGCCAAUCGAGCAACAGACUUACAGUGUUUUAAUGAUUUAUUUUCAUGGCCAAAACACAACUUCUCACUACUAGCAAGUAUGGGAGUUGGGCUACCGAAGGUGUCAGAACGAAAGACAUUCACUUGUAACUAGGACACUAUUCUUACCGU
This is a long non-coding RNA of Chroicocephalus ridibundus (black-headed gull), 788 nucleotides long. RefSeq lists it as uncharacterized. Lineage: Eukaryota; Metazoa; Chordata; Aves; Charadriiformes; Laridae. The record is from RefSeq and is a predicted model, not a curated record. The transcript is spliced from 4 exons.